This 774-nucleotide long non-coding RNA is filed under the name Rattus norvegicus (Norway rat). RNAcentral's name for it is "long non-coding RNA NONRATT017912". The record is from RNAcentral. Lineage: Eukaryota; Metazoa; Chordata; Mammalia; Rodentia; Muridae.
UGCGAGGAGGGGAGGACGGGGGAAGUAGGUAACGGGGGGAACUGGAAGAGGAGGAUGGGCCCUGGAGCAGAGCACAGGCGCCGUGGGCCUGGAGAACGAGCCGGGGACUGGAACCUGGUUGAAGGGGUCGGCAGAGUCACUCGGCUGGAGCCUUCCAGACCAAGGCAAAGCUCUGAGGGGCCGGGCUAGCCCAGACCCAUAUGCCCAGGAACUGGUUUCUCACACAGCCUACCGUUCCGAGUGGGCAAUGAAGAUCCAAAGAUCGGGGCUGGAGAGAUGGCUGGCGCAGCAGUUAAGCCUACUGAUUGUUUCCCCUGGGUUUGGUUACCAGCACCCACAUGGUGCCUCACAACCGUCCGUAAUUCCACUUCCCAGCGAUCCAAAGCCCUCUUCUGACCUCCAUGGACACCAGGCAUACCUGUGUGAUGAGCCUUCAUCUGUGCAGGCAGACACUCAAACACAUAAGAUACGAAUAAAUAGCUAUUUUUGGUUGCUUUGCUGUAGGUUCGGUUCUCCUGCACACAGACGGUUCAGCAGUGGCGCCACCUACCCCAACAUCCCUCUCUCUUCUCCCUUGCCCGGAGUGCCCAAGCCUAUUUUUGCUACAGUUGAUGGACAGGAAAAGUUUGAAACCAAAGUCACCACUCUGGACAAUGGGCUUCGUGUGGCAUCUCAAAAUAAGUUUGGACAGUUCUGUACCUUAGGAAUUCUUAUUAAUUCAGGAUCACGAUAUGAAGCGAAAUAUCUUAGUGGAAUUGCUCAUUUUCUGGAAAA